AAGCAGUAAUCAUAGUUUCGUAUAGCACGUAACAAGUAAUUUAUCGCAGCAGAAUUAUAAUGGCGAAUAAGUGUGCAGAAAUUAACGAAUUGAGUGACAAAAUUAUUGAAAAAAUAGAUAAAGUUAGUAAGCUAGUCCAGAUUGAGAAUGAUUUUUCGUUGCAUCAUCACUUCUUCGGCUACACCUAAAGGACACUUCUGUCGACGACAUGUGUCUUCUUCAGAUCUGCAUGACCUCUACAGCACAGCUCAAGAACAAGUACCAUCCACUUCUUCAGAUGUGGAUAGCAUGUGUCAUCAACUUCUUCAGAUGUGGAUGGCAUAUGUCUCAGAAACGUGGUAAGAUAACUACUUGUUAGGUCGGAUGAUUAUAAGAUUAUCAUCAGUAAAUGGCUUAUAGGGGAAGUUCACAUAAAUCAUAGGAUUCCUUGUAUAUUUCACAAUAUGUGAGGCUACGACGAGCAUUUUAUAAUAAAAAAUUAGCUACAGAAAUACCUGGUCAAGUAACAUUACUACCAGUCAAUAAAGAAAAAUCUAUAUCUUUUACAAAAUAUAUUCUAAAUACUACUCUUUCUUUUUGGUUUCUAGAUUCUUUUAUAUUAGUAAUAUCCUUCUCUUUUUUUACUUCUUUGAUAUGUAUUUUUCGACUUUAAACCAACAAACAAUAAAAAAAUUCUUAAUUCACUUAUUUGUUUGUUCUUUAAUAAACAACAACUAGCAGCAUAAAAACUGUCAACAAUUAUGAAGCUUUUAAUGGAUGAUUGUAUAACACAUUAUGAAAGCCAUUCAUAUGAACCCUAUCUACCAACAAAAUUGGGUAAUAUAACUAUGAAAUAUUUAUUCCUGUUAAUAAAGUUGAAAAGUAUACUUUACCUGGAGAAAGUUCACUCUAUAUAGAAGGAAAACUAACUAAAAUAGAUGGUACCAUUUCAAAAAAAGCAUCAUUUAUAAAUGCUUUUUUUGAAAAGCACGGGGUGGCAUUUUUUUUUAAGGAAAUGAGAUACCAGUUAAAUGGUGUAACAAUUGAUUCCGUGCAAGAUGUAGGUAUUACAUCAACAUUAAAAGGGUAUUAAUCAUAUAAUAAUGAGUUGAAGAAAAUGCAAAACGCUGGUUGGUAUCCCGCCAGCACUAAUAAUUCUACAAAAUCAAUAGUUGUUAAUGCAAUAACCGCUUUUUUUUAAUCUACUCAAUAAACAAUUUCAAAACAAGAAUUAAUUUUAGCACGAAAAAAUACUGAUAAUAAUGCUGUUAUAUACAACUACAGAAGCGAAUGAAACUCUAAAGAUCACUCUUAAUAAAAUAUCAUGGAUGGUACCACACAUUUCUGAAGGUAUGUCACAAGAAUUUCUUUUUAGUAUAACUUAUUGAUAAAAACAUAGACAUUGAAAUUGGUUUUAGAUUUGGUAAACUGAUAAGGUUUGUGCAGAUAUGAGUCAAUUUAAUGAUAUUAAUUUAAGAUCCAUAGGAGUGUUUUUAAACUCGGAAAGAUUUCCCUACAUACACUUUAAUUUAGAUAUAGGCCAAAAUAAAUUUGCAAAAGUGUUUUUUUUGCAAAUUUUUACACUAAAUAGAAAAAUAUGGAUUUUCUUAUAUUAUGUUCAGGGUUUUAAAUUGGAAAACCAAAAAUUUAUUUCCAAAGAAAGGCUGACUAGGAUUUGUAUUCGUUUUAAUUUAAUUUAUGUAUAUUAUAUAAUAUAGUUAAAUAGAAAGAACAGUGAAAGAAACACGCGCAUAUCAUUUCCUUUUAUUCCAUAUUAACAUGAUGUCCCUGUUUUCAAUACUUAGUUCUUGUUGCGUGCUUAGUGUUAUGUAAUCUGCAUCUUUUCUAAUUCCUAUAUUUGUUAUAUUUUCUAGCGCACUCAGUGAGUCUGUUAUUAUAAGUAACUAGGUUUCCUGUGGGGAGAAAAGUCUUAUUGCUUCUCUGAUGACUAUAGUUUUCUUUGCAUAUUUUGCCGCAGUAUAUGCAAAUUCCAUAGGCAUAGUUAUUUGGGUUCGCAGAUGCGUCAGUGUAUAUUCUUGUACAUUCUGGAUAAUUUUUGUUUAAAAUUUGCAUGAAUUCUUUUUCGUUUUGGCCCUCUUUGCUUAGGUUGGUCUUUAGGUAUUCUUACCUUUUUGUUUGUGUAUGGUAGGGGAACUUGUGACAUGGUAGUUUGGAGUCCCUAUAGAUGUAAUUGUAAUAUUGCAGUAUUUGGUCCGCCCCUUGUAUUAUGGCUGGUGUUGGAAAAGUUUUAAGGUUAUGUUUACAUCUGUUUGUUUACCUGUUCAAUUUGGUGCAAAAGUAAAGUGUUACCUUGGACUUUAAAACCCAAGUAAGUCUGGAUUGCCUUUCUCGGUUAUUCUUCUUGGUACACACACCAAAGUUCUCUGAAAACUCAUUCUAAUUAACCUCAUAACACAAAAUAAACAGCAGUUUCUUCAUCACAUUUUUCCCGCCAAAUUCCGGAUGACAGACCGAACUGACACAUUUGACGGCUAGGACAGAUGUCUGGGAGUGGUAGAGUUCUGUUCUUCUUCUUCUUCUUCUUCUUCUUCUUCUCCCUUGGCCUGGCUUAUAUCAUAACACACUAACCAACAUAAUCUGUUUGCACACCAUACAGCUUCUAGAAAUAUGGCGAAGUGUUGCAAAUGUGAACGACUGUGAUGGCUGUAGGCAACAAUUUUAUUAUGAAUGUUCAGAUCUGACUAGUUCGGAGAUCAGAGUUAUAGAAUUGAAGAAUAAACGUAGUUUAAAAUAUUUUUGUACUCUCUACCUUAAGGGUUUAAAGCUCAUCCCGGUUCUUCAGAGGCAUAUUGAAUCUUUGGAGGGAAAACUUAGCUCAUUAGAAGCCAACAUGACCACCCAAUUUAGUGAGGUUAUUGAUAAAGUGAGUGAUCUGCACAAUAACCAACAGCAAGUCAAUAAUAUAACACCUAGUACUACUCAAUCCCAGGUCAACGACAGCAAUGAUUUAAUGCAAGAGGUCGCGGAUCGACAGAGGAGAAUGAAUAAUAUCAUGCUGUUUAAUAUGGAAAUCUUACCACAGACUUCAGAAAUUACCCAAAUAUCUAAUCUUCUAAACUCAGUUACUGGCAAGCAAGUGCAUGUCUCAGAAGUGAUUAAGUUGGGCAGACCAAAUAGUAAAGGUCGUAAAUGUCUCAAGAUAGUUCUAUCAAACAAUUCUGAUGUAACCAAUGUACUAAAGAACCGCAGGAGGUUUAGCUCUGCUAAGGCGGUUUAUGUUGAGGCUGAUCUCACUCCUAGUCAGAGGAGUGAUCUGCAAAAGGUCAAGGACGUACUUGAGCAUCGGCGAUCCAAUGUAGAAACAAAUCUGCACAUCAAGUUUGACAAUGGCAGGCCUGUCAUCGCCACAAAAACUAAAUCCUUCCAGCACUUCACACCACCUACGUCUUUAUUAUUAAAUUGUACGUGGCCUCCGCACCAAGACUGAUGAUAAGCUUUAUACAGGGAUCUCCGUGUGCGACUUUGACAUCAUUGCCUUCACCGAAACGUGGCUUCAACCAGAUAUUCUCAACUCUGAAUUGUGUCCAGAAACAUUUAGAGUGCUCAGAUCUGACAGACAGCUGGAUAGAGUGGCCGCUACUCGUAGUGGUGGCUGCUUGGAUGCAGCUUCUCACAACAUCCACCUAGAGAGGGUUAACUUGGAAGACAUCUUUAACUCCACACCACUUAUAGAUAUUUUAGGUUGUAAGCUCACAUGGUUAUUUUGUAUUUUAUUAAUUUGUAAUCUAUGUCCCUCCUUGCACAACCAGAGAGACUUUAAGACCUUGUGUGAAACAAUAAUGUCACUGGAUCUGGUCCACACAAAACGCGUUAUGAUUGUUGGAGAUUUUAAUGUUCCGUCUUAUCAGACAACCGAAGCUAGCAGUAUCAAGUGCAAGCUUUUGACCAACCUAUGCGAGAUCCUUAGUCUUAAGCAGUUUACAAUAUUUCAAAUGUUAAUAACAGGCUUCUUGACUUGGUUUUUUUAAAUUUCGACGUCAGUGUCAUCAAAAGUAUAUCACCACUUAUUGACGAAGAUUUGCAUCAUCCUGCUUUGACAAUUUCUUUUAAAUCGGCUUCCCCUCAUAAAUAUAAUCCUUCUAUAAGUUCAAAUAAUUUACAGCAGUUUAACUUCAGAAAAGCAGACUUUCCACACAUGUAUAAUUUGUUGCUUGAUGCAGACUGGUUGUCUGUCUUGCAGUCUUCUGACGUUGACAGCGCUUGCAAGGAACUUUACAAAAAGACUUGAUUCAGCUUUUGCUGCUUCAGCACCUUUAAAACAACGAAGACGACGGCGAUUUCCAUUAUGGUUUUCAAAACAAAUUAUUUCUAAUAUCUUUAGGAAGGAAAAAGCAUAUCGUGAUUAAAGAUCCUCUCCAACUGAAUUUAAUUUUUCCAGAUACAGCAGGCUUCGUCAGACAGUAAAAUCUCAAGCUUGUGAGGCCUAUAACUCAUUUGUGACUAAAGCCGAGGAGAACAUUGUCACUGAUCCCUCAUCGUUUUGGUCUUUUGUUAGAGCUAAGAAAGGUCACUCUUCACUUCCGUCUAUCAUGUGCGAUGCGAAUGGUAAUUCUUUUCAAGGCACAAAAAAUAUUGUGCCAGCUUUUGCCAAACUUUUUCAAAAUGUCUAUAAAGAUCCAAUCAACCUCGCAGAAACCUAUCCUCCUUCUAAUUCCUUAGACCUCAUUGACAUUCUUCCAUCAAUUACCACUGAGGAAAUUAUUGCUGCUAGUCGGAGGCUAAAAAAUAAGUUGACAGCCGGUCCAGAUGGUGUUCCAAGUUUUGUGGCUAAAGAAUGCAUGUUUGUCCUUUGUCAGCCUUUAUGUCAUAUUUUUAACCUUAUUUGGAAAACUAGCAAAUUUCCAGGUGUCUGAAAAUGUGCUAAAGUAAUACCAAUUCACAAAAAAGGCGAUAUAAACAGAAUCGACAACUACCGACCUAUCUCCAUACUUUGAAAUUUUUCCAAAACGUUUGAAACUAUUUUACUAAUUUCGUUGCUUUCGUCAUACCUUAUUGACCGUCUACAGUUUGUUGAGGUUGAAGGUUGCAGAUCUAAUACCUUUGUUUCAACUUCUGGAGUCCCACAGGGAUCCAAUCUCGGUCCACUUCUUUUUAUCUUUUAUAUUAAUGAUCUUAUAGAAUUGAUUUCCUACUUUAGACUAGCUUAUGCUGAUGAUCUGAAAAUAUUCUGGUGUAUCAAUAGUAUCUUGGACUGCUUGUUCUUACAGAGUAACUACAAUAUAGACAAUCAAAUCCUCUAAAGAAGUACUUCUAUUAAAGAUCUAGGGGUUGUAUUCGACGAUAGGCUCACAUUUGUGCCACAUAUUGAACAGACAGUGACCUCCUCGUUGAAACUUCUGGGUUUUGUCAUUUGAAAUAGCCGACUCUUUAACAACUCAAACUCAAUAAAACUAUUGUACUUUUCCUUUGUUAGAUCAAGACUGGAAUACGGUUCCAUGGUGUGGUGUCCUUUCUAUGAAUGCCAUGUUGGCUACAUUGAGAGUGUUCAGAGAAGGGUUUUAAAGUUUCUUAUGUUUCGUGAGGAUGGAAUAUAUCCUGUUAGGGGACAUGAUCAUGAUCUGAUGAUUUAAGGUAGUGACAUGGUGAUAGGGUAUAUGACAUGAGGUAGAUUUAAUCUGCAAUCUCUGGCCAUGAGGAGAACAAUUCAUUUUGUAACAUUCUUAUGGAAGUUGGUCAAUAAUCAAAUAAAUUCUCCUCCUCUCUUGAACAAUAUUCUAUUUCAUGUACCACGAUUUGCUUCUAGAGCAAAUAUCACUUUUGCUUUAGAUCGCGCCAGAACUAACAUUAGGUUUCAGGAUCCCGUAUAUCAAAUGUGCAGAUUUUUUAAUUCAGUAUCAUCAGAGUAUGUUGGGGAGCAGACCCAAAAAUACUGCUAACAGUAUAAAAGGCAAUUGACAGAAGUCACUUCGAAUAUGGAACAAUUUGCAUAUAUAAGACAUCAAAGGCAAACUGGAACAAAAUAGACAAAACGCAGUAUCAAGCACUAAGAACGGCCUUAGGAUGCCGAAGGGCACUUCUAUCAGAGGCAGCUGAAACUCCUACGGAACUCAGAACAUGCCUAGCAGCAACAUUUGCAGGGAAAUUCAUGUCAAAAUCACGAUUUGGACUCAAGUAUUAUCUUUCUAUCAAAUGAUAAAUGAGGGACACAAUUUAUUUAUUUAGCAGUUUAUUUCCAACAGGCAAAGCCCAGUUACAGGAAAAUCUACAAUUAAUGUUUUGAAAGUGUAAACAAGAAUUAAAUUACUAUAAAUUAAAUAACAAAAAGAAAGAAAAAUAAAGAAAUAAGGAAAACUUAAAUUACUAUAGUAACAUCAUGUAUAUAUCAAAAUUAAAGGAGAUGUAAAUUAACAUUAGAAUAAACAAAGAAAGGGAUUCAUGGGACAAGGGAAAAAAGGAAGAAAAAAAAAGAAUUAUGGUAACUGUUGGUUUGUCAGAGACAAAACUAGAUCCUUUAUGGAGCAUACAAAUAUGAUCAACAACUACCACCUAUUGAACAAUUUUACAUUAAAAUUUAAAAAAAGGGUAUUUCGUAAAAUGAUUCUACACAUGCUACUAAUGUUUGGAAUAAAUUAAAAAUUUUCGUCAAUACAUGAAAAUUUAUUUAAAAACUGUAUGUAUUAUUAUUAGCUGAUGUAUUCGAGAAUUUCAGAAAAGUCUGUUUUAGCUUUUAAAACUUAUGGUUUAGAAUGCUUAAGGCCAUAUACUGCACCUGUAUUAGCAUGUGAUGCAUGCCUUUUAAUCCCUCAGGUUUCUUUAGAAUUAUUUACAGAUAUAGACAAAUUAAUGAUGAUAGAAAGGGGAAAUUUCACAGUGCAACACACCUGAUGAUUCUGAUUCUGAUAUAGAAUAUAUUCUUGCAGUAGAUUUAGAUUAUUCUUAAAAUGUACAUAAUCUUCAUAAAGAUUUAUGGACAGAAGGCAGUUCCACCUCUUCCAGUAACCACCAAGCAACCGAAGUUACUAACAAUCGUUUAUAGUAAAAGAAACUAUAUUAUACAAUACAGAUAUUUAAAACAGGCAAUGCAAUUGAGUAUAAAAUUAGUAAAAAUUCAUAAGGUAUUAGCUUUAAGACAAUCUCCUUGGUUAAAAUCACCCAUAAUACUGAAUUGAAGAAAUUAAGCAAGAAUGAUUUUGAAAAAAACUUUUUUAUAUUAAUAAUGCGGUAUUUGGAAAGACUAUGGAAAAUAUUAGAAAACAAAAAGUUGUAAAAUUAGUAAUAUCAAGGGAUGGUAGGUUUGGAGCAACAAAUUUAAUUUCAAAACCAAACUUUUAUAGUUUGACAAUUUUCGAUGAAAACUUGGUAAUUAUAGAAUUGUCUCGUGUAAAUAUUAAAUUUAAUAAGCCCAUUUAUAUAGGUUUUAUUAUUAUAGAAAUUUCUAAAACGAUUUUAUAUGAUUUUCAUUAUAAUUAUAUAAAAUCAAAAUGUAAUGAUGCUGCAAAAUUACUGUAUACCAACACUGAUUCCCUAACUCAUUUUUAAGUGGAUGAUAUGUUUAAACAUAUAAAAGAAGAUAUUCACAAAUUUGACACUUCUGAGUAUACUCUAAAUAAUGUUUAUGAUACACCAUUGGCUGGUAACAAAAUAUUAGGGGUAAUGAAAGAUGAGAUUAACGAUAAGUGAAUUUGUUGGUUUAAAGUCGAAAAUGAACGCUUUUAAAAUACAUAACAGGGAACUAAAAAAAUAUGUUAGGUAUUACUAAAGCUUUAUUAAAUACUAUCACUUUCGAACAUUAUUUUAACUGCUUGUUUGGUCACAAUCAAAUAUAUGCAAAGGAAUAUCUAAUUCGAUCUAAAAAACAUGAACUGUUUACAAUAAGCCAAAGGAAGAUUGCGCUUUCACAUAAUGACGACAAAAGAAAUAUAAAUUUUGCAUCGACCGAUACGUUACUUUGGGGAUAUAUAAUUUAAUUGUAUGAAUUUAAAAAUAUUUCUGUUUAAAUGUUUUUGAAACACUUAUAUGUCACAAUCUCAUUCGAUUUGUAAAAAUGGUGCCUCAUGCACAUGUUCCCACAAAGGGAAGUUUAUUGACUGCUGUAUAUGAUCUAAAAAGCUCAAACAAUGCUAUUGUUCCAAAAAGAGAACAUGUAAAAGUACGUACAGGCCUGAGGUUUCAGCUUCCUAAAGGAUCAUAUGGAAGAAAAACUCCAUGAUCUGGAUUGACUUUUACAUCAUGGCAUUGAUGUUGAUGUUGGUGUUAUAGAUCAAGACUAUACUGGUGAAAUUCUCUUGAACCAUUUCGAUAGGGAUUUUUACAUUAAAGCUGCUGGCCGUGACCGAAUAGCCCAACUAAUAUGUGAGAGAAUGUAUUUUCCAGGACACGAAGUGACAACCUUGGAAAAACUAAACGACCACAUAAUUUCGGUUUCGGAUCAUCUGGAGUAGUAUAAUUUAUUUUUUUACAUCAUACAAAUAAAUUAUAUAUGUAAUUAUUUACAAUACUAUUAUAAAAUAACUGUUUGUAAACUAA
RNAcentral lists this unclassified non-coding RNA (8466 nucleotides) under Anthonomus grandis grandis. RNAcentral's name for it is "uncharacterized LOC126737856". Lineage: Eukaryota; Metazoa; Arthropoda; Insecta; Coleoptera; Curculionidae. The record is from RNAcentral.